GACGAACGCUGGCGGCGUGCUUAACACAUGCAAGUCGAACGGAGAGGCCCUGCGUUGGGGGUGAGUUGGGGAGGGGAGCGUGAGAGGUGGACAAGCGGAUCCCGCCCCUGGGAUAACGCCAAGAUCUUGGAGCUGGUGCUAGAAGUUCAUCGCAUCUCGUGCGGCAGGUGGUGCAAAGGGUAGACUCGUCGGUUGGGGCUGGACUCGCGGCAUAUUAGCUUGUUGGUGGGGUAGUGGCAUACCAAGGCCGCGACGGGUAGCCGGCCUGAGAGGGUGACCGGCCACAUUGGGACUGAGACACGGCCCAGACUCCUACGGGAGGCAGCAGUGGGGAAUAUUGCGCAAUGGGCGGAAGCCUGACGCAGCGACGCCGCGUGCGGGAUGACGGCCUUCGGGUUGUAAACCUCUUUCAGCAGGGACGAAGCGCAAGUGACGGUACCUGCUAAAGAAGCACCGGCUAACUACGUG
This 468-nucleotide ribosomal RNA is filed under the name uncultured bacterium. RNAcentral's name for it is "partial 16S ribosomal RNA". It matches the Rfam family "Bacterial small subunit ribosomal RNA", at positions 28 to 507 of the family's 1533-position model. The record is from RNAcentral.